Molecule: ribosomal RNA, 305 nt
Filed under: uncultured bacterium
Lineage: Bacteria
Description: bacterial SSU rRNA
Rfam family: Bacterial small subunit ribosomal RNA
Source: RNAcentral
UCCUACGGGGGGCAGCAGUAGGGAAUUUUCGUCAACGGGCGCAAGCCUGAACGAGCAAUGCCGCGUGAACGAGGAAGGUCUUCGGAUCGUAAAGUUCUGUUGAAGGGGAAAAAGAGCGGAGAGAGGAAAUGGUCUCCGAUUGAUAUUACCCUUCGAGGAAGUCACGGCUAACUACGUGCCAGCAGCCGCGGUAAUACGUAGGUGGCGAGCGUUAUCCGGAAUGAUUGGGCGUAAAGGGUGCGUAGGCGGCCUGCUAAGUCUGGAGUGAAAGGUACCGGCUCAACCGGUACAGGCUCUGGAAACUG